AUACGUAGGUGGCAAGCGUUGUCCGGAAUUAUUGGGCGUAAAGCGCAUGUAGGCGGUGCCUUAAGUCUGUCGUGAAACUGCGGGGCCUAACCCCGUAUGGCGAUGGAAACUGUGGCACUUGAGUGCAGGAGAGGAAAGGGGAACUCCCAGUGUAGCGGUGAAAUGCGUAGAUAUUGGGAAGAACACCGGUGGCGAAGGCGCCUUUCUGGACUGUGUCUGACGCUGAGAUGCGAAAGCCAGGGUAGCGAACGGGAUUAGAUACCCCGGUAGUCCUGGCCGUAAACGAUGGGUACUAGGUGUGGGAGGUAUCGACCCCUUCCGUGCCGGAGUUAACGCAAUAAGUACCCCGCCUGGGGAGUACGGCCGCAAGGCUUAAACUCAAAUGAAUUGACGGGG
RNAcentral lists this ribosomal RNA (396 nucleotides) under uncultured bacterium. Its description in RNAcentral is "partial 16S ribosomal RNA". It matches the Rfam family "Bacterial small subunit ribosomal RNA", at positions 523 to 918 of the family's 1533-position model. The record is from RNAcentral.